RNAcentral lists this unclassified non-coding RNA (334 nucleotides) under soil metagenome. RNAcentral's name for it is "partial contains 5.8S ribosomal RNA, internal transcribed spacer 2, and large subunit ribosomal RNA". The stretch from base 1 to 120 matches the Rfam family "5.8S ribosomal RNA", at positions 35 to 154 of the family's 154-position model. The record is from RNAcentral.
GAUGGAGAACGUAGCGAAAUGCGAUAAGUAGUGUGAAUUGCAGAAUUCAGUGAAUCAUCGAAUCUUUGAACGCACAUUGCGCCCCUUGGUAUUCCAUGGGGCAUGCCUGUUCGAGCGUCAUUUGUACCUUCAAGCUUUGCUUGGUGUUGGGUGUUUGUCCAUUCUCUUGCAGAGGGACUCGCCUUAAAGUAAUUGGCAGCCAGUGUUUUGGUUUUGAAGCGCAGCACAAGUCGCGAUUCAACGCUAUACGCCAGCUUCCACAAGCCUUUUUCACUUUUGACCUCGGAUCAGGUAGGGAUACCCGCUGAACUUAAGCAUAUCAAUAAGCGGAGGA